AGCCUCUGACUUCACCUGGGUGCUGACUGUUCCUGCAAUCUGGGAUCCUUCAGCUAAACAGUUCAUGAGAGAAGCUGCAACUCAGGCAGGUCUUGUGACAGAAGGAACAGAAGACAAACUGUUGAUUGCUCUGGAACCAGAAGCAGCUUCAAUCUGGUGUAAGAAGCUUCCUCCUUAUGGUUUCAUCACACAGAACCACAACAAAGAGUCACUGGAUCAGUCUCCAGGGACUCAGUACAUCGUUGUCGACUGUGGAGGAGGAACUAUUGACAUCACUGUUCAUGAAGUCAUGGAAGAAGGAGCCUUGAAGGAGCUGCACAAGGCCUCUGGAAAUAACCUGGGAGGACAAACUGUGGAUGGAAACUUUAAAAGGUUUCUGAGAAAGAUUUUUCCUGAUGGAGUGUGGGAUGAAUAUGAACAAAAACACCCCAGUGGUGCUCAUAAAAUUAUGUAUGAGUUUACCCGUCUCAAACAGGUUGAUCAAGAUGUUCAACUCUGUGUCCCAUUUACACUGGGAUCAUUAGCUAUGCAUAAAUCAGGAACAGAAGAUUUUAUUGCUUCAGAGCAGGGGGCUUCCUGCGACGAUGGAUUUAUCAAAAUCUCAAGAGACAAACUGAGAUCUUUCUUUGAAAAAAGUCUACAGGGCAU
Molecule: long non-coding RNA, 648 nt
Organism: Fundulus heteroclitus (mummichog)
Lineage: Eukaryota; Metazoa; Chordata; Actinopteri; Cyprinodontiformes; Fundulidae
Exons: 3
Source: RefSeq, a predicted model, not a curated record